This 234-nucleotide long non-coding RNA is filed under the name Theobroma cacao (cacao). Its description in RNAcentral is "long non-coding RNA (TCAC_LNC001011)". Lineage: Eukaryota; Viridiplantae; Streptophyta; Magnoliopsida; Malvales; Malvaceae. The record is from RNAcentral.
AUUACAAACAAAGCUUGAAGACAAUGUUUGUGUAAAUCCCCUAGGAAUUUGACCAACUAAUUUCCUUAAUGGCUCGAGGAAAUUAGAAUUAGUAAAGUCCAUAAUCAUCCUAGUAGUUGGCAUGAGAUAGAUUUAUUUUUAAAAUAUAUAUAUGAUAUAUGUGAAAUGAGAUAAAUGCUAUACAUGUCAACAACGUCAAAUCAAUGAGACCUUAAUUAAUGAAUUAAUAAAUAA